RNAcentral lists this ribosomal RNA (253 nucleotides) under uncultured bacterium. RNAcentral describes it as "partial 16S ribosomal RNA". It matches the Rfam family "Bacterial small subunit ribosomal RNA", at positions 524 to 776 of the family's 1533-position model. The record is from RNAcentral.
UACAGAGGGUGCAAGCGUUAAUCGGAAUUACUGGGCGUAAAGCGUGCGUAGACGGUUAUGUAAGUCGGGUGUGAAAGCCCCGGGCUCAACCUGGGAAUUGCAUUCGAGACUGCAUAGCUAGGGUGCGGAAGAGGGAAGCGGAAUUUCCGGUGUAGCGGUGAAAUGCGUAGAUAUCGGAAGGAACAUCAGUGGCGAAAGCGACUUCCUGGACCAAUACUGACGCUCAUGUGCGAAAGCGUGGGGAGCAAACAGG